UAGGGAAUCUUCCACAAUGGGCGCAAGCCUGAUGGAGCAACACCGCGUGAGUGAAGAAGGGUUUCGGCUCGUAAAACACUGUUGUAAGAGAAGAAUGACAUUGAGAGUAACUGUUCAAUGUGUGACGGUAUCUUACCAGAAAGGAACGGCUAAAUACGUGCCUAG
This 165-nucleotide ribosomal RNA is filed under the name uncultured bacterium. RNAcentral's name for it is "partial 16S rRNA". It matches the Rfam family "Bacterial small subunit ribosomal RNA", at positions 355 to 512 of the family's 1533-position model. The record is from RNAcentral.